CGUGACCUACGGGGGGCAGCAGUAGGGAAUCUUCGGCAAUGGGCGAAAGCUUGACCGAGCAACGCCGCGUGAAUGAAGAAGGCCUUCGGGUUGUAAAAUUCUGUUAUAAGGGAAGAAAGGUGAUAGGAGGAAAUGACUAUCAAUUGACGGUACCUUAUGAGAAAGCCACGGCUAACUACGUGCCAGCAGCCGCGGUAAUACGUAGGUGGCAAGCGUAAUCCGGAUUUAUUGGGCGUAAAGAGCGCGCAGGUGGUUCAUUA
Molecule: ribosomal RNA, 260 nt
Filed under: uncultured bacterium
Lineage: Bacteria
Description: partial 16S ribosomal RNA
Rfam family: Bacterial small subunit ribosomal RNA
Source: RNAcentral